Molecule: ribosomal RNA, 693 nt
Filed under: Hydropunctaria rheitrophila
Lineage: Eukaryota; Fungi; Ascomycota; Eurotiomycetes; Verrucariales; Verrucariaceae
Description: eukaryotic LSU rRNA
Rfam family: Eukaryotic large subunit ribosomal RNA
Source: RNAcentral
UGGGUCCGAGUUUGUAAUUUGUAGAGGAUGCUUCGGGCAAGGCUGCGGUCUAAUUCGCUUGGAACAGCGAGUCAUAGAGGGUGAGAGUCCCGUCUGGGAUCGCGCGCCGCGCCCGGGUGAAGCUCCUUCGACGAGUCGAGUUGUUUGGGAAUGCAGCUCUAAAUGGGUGGUAAAUUUCAUCUAAAGCUAAAUACCGGCCAGAGACCGAUAGCGCACAAGUAGAGUGAUCGAAAGAUGAAAAGCACUUUGAAAAGAGAGUUAAACAGUAUGUGAAAUUGUUGAAAGGGAAGCGCUUGCCACCAGACUUGCGGGUGGUGGUUCCCCCGGUCCCCUGACCGGGCUACUCCGCCACCCUCGGGCCAGCAUCGGUCUGGGCGGUCGGUGAAAGACCCCGGGAAUGUAUCUACCCUCGGGUCGACUUAUAGCCCGGGGUGUAAUGCGGCCCGCCCGGACCGAGGAACGCGCUUCGGCUCGGAUGUUGGCGUAAUGGUGGCAAGCGGCCCGUCUUGAAACACGGACCAAGGAGUCUAACAUCUAUGCGAGUGUUUGGGUGUCAAACCCCGGCGCGGAAUGAAAGUGAACGGAGGUGAGAACCCCUCUCGGGGCGCAUUAUCGACCGAUCCUGAAGUCUUCGGAUGGAUUUGAGUAANAGCAUAGCUGUUGGGACCCGAAANAUGGUGAACUAUGCCUGAA